Molecule: long non-coding RNA, 1231 nt
Organism: Daphnia pulicaria
Lineage: Eukaryota; Metazoa; Arthropoda; Branchiopoda; Diplostraca; Daphniidae
Exons: 3
Source: RefSeq, a predicted model, not a curated record
AAGCACACUAUCAAACCAAAACAAUAGUCGAAAAAAAAGAGGCCCAUCCCAUUCUUCUUUUAUAAAUAGUUGCCGGAGCGGAGAGCCAGCUUCAAAUACGUCAACAUAUUUUAAGAAAAGUUUACUUUGAGCAGAUCGAAACGAUCUAUUGAAGAAAAGCAGAAAAGUCGGUGAGAAUCGUUGAUGGCUGAUCCGGAUCUGAAAAAAUUACCAAAGAAAACCCUCAAGAAGGUUAUUCAAGAGUGCAAUCUAAGUGCAUUGUUAUCUUCAGAUGAAGGUCAAGCAUUUUUCAAGUCAUACCUGAGUCAUCAUCCAGAACACAGCAAGUACUGGGACUUCUACAACUCUGUCAGUGAAAUCAUUUUGAACUCUGACAACCAGGAGCAGCAACUAGACUCAAUAAAGGAGUGUUUUGAGAAGCACAUUUCCAUAGGAGCUGAUUCAGAGGAUAGGGUUGAUGCCUGUAUUCAAAACAGAGCUGAUGUAGAGAACUUGUCAAAAGCCAUCAACGAAAAGGAUUGUGAAAAUCUUCAAAAAAUUCUAAGUGAAAAGCAGCAAUCUGCUUUUGAAUAUUUGAAUCGAGAAGCUUUUCUCCCCUUGUUGCCUGAAUUCAAAGGGUGCACUUCUAAAAAAACAAGCUGUGAUCUGAGUUAAACCAUGUUGGCAACUUUCUGGGAAGACACAUCUGUUUAUUACUUUAUCACUACUGUCUUUGCCAUCAUUUGCUUAACACUAACAUGCCUCUGGAAUGCAAAAAACAUUACCCCCUCUACACCUCCCAAAGAACAACAGAAAGAUGGUUUAGGAUUUCUGAGUUCAAGAAAACCUCUUCAGUUAGCUAAGCAGUUGGAAGAAAAACUUCCUGAAGAAGUGAAACUCUUGGAAAAGAAGGUUGAAACAGAACAAAUGGAGGCUAUCUACAAGCUGAUGCAAAAGCACAGUGCCCAAUUUGGAGACACCACAAUGGAUGACAUGAAAAAUCAAAUGCAGCUCUAUGGUUUCUCUUGAAAAGCAAGCAAAGCCCUUUCUGGCAUCUCCUAACAUGUUGGCCUUCCAUAUUCUCUGUUGCCUGUUCCAAGUUGCACUAAACAAACACUAUCUAUAUAGACUAACCAUCGCAACUGCCCAAUCCUAAAUAACGAAACGACACUACGGAAAUGCUUGUUCUGUUUCAUGUGACUUUGUUCUGUUAAACAUAUGAAAACUUCAUAAAUCGAUAAUCUUCUCCGUG